Small nucleolar RNA from Solanum pennellii, 123 nucleotides. RefSeq annotates it as small nucleolar RNA snoR77. NCBI's taxonomy places the organism in Eukaryota, Viridiplantae, Streptophyta, Magnoliopsida, Solanales, Solanaceae. The record is from RefSeq and is a predicted model, not a curated record. The transcript has a single exon.
AGGCAGCCCCUUUUCUAUAAUUUGACGUGUUACUCUGCCCGUAUAUUAAAUUCGUUUAUGCUCUUCAGAUUUGCUGAGAUAUAUUGAUAUCUUUCAAGCCGGUCUAGUAAGCUUAAGCACAAU